This 737-nucleotide ribosomal RNA is filed under the name Flavobacterium sp. 001xTSA06A_G03. RNAcentral describes it as "bacterial SSU rRNA". It matches the Rfam family "Bacterial small subunit ribosomal RNA", at positions 91 to 826 of the family's 1533-position model. The record is from RNAcentral. Lineage: Bacteria; Pseudomonadati; Bacteroidota; Flavobacteriia; Flavobacteriales; Flavobacteriaceae.
GAGACCGGCGCACGGGUGCGUAACGCGUAUGCAAUCUACCUUUUACAGAGGGAUAGCCCAGAGAAAUUUGGAUUAAUACCUCAUAGUAUUAUAGAAUGGCAUGAUUUUAUAAUUAAAGUCACAACGGUAAAAGAUGAGCAUGCGUCCCAUUAGCUAGUUGGUAAGGUAACGGCUUACCAAGGCUACGAUGGGUAGGGGUCCUGAGAGGGAGAUCCCCCACACUGGUACUGAGACACGGACCAGACUCCUACGGGAGGCAGCAGUGAGGAAUAUUGGACAAUGGGCGCAAGCCUGAUCCAGCCAUGCCGCGUGCAGGAUGACGGUCCUAUGGAUUGUAAACUGCUUUUAUACGAGAAGAAACACUGCUUCGUGAAGGAGCUUGACGGUAUCGUAAGAAUAAGGAUCGGCUAACUCCGUGCCAGCAGCCGCGGUAAUACGGAGGAUCCAAGCGUUAUCCGGAAUCAUUGGGUUUAAAGGGUCCGUAGGCGGUUUAAUAAGUCAGUGGUGAAAGCCCAUCGCUCAACGGUGGAACGGCCAUUGAUACUGUUAAACUUGAAUUAUUAGGAAGUAACUAGAAUAUGUAGUGUAGCGGUGAAAUGCUUAGAGAUUACAUGGAAUACCAAUUGCGAAGGCAGGUUACUACUAAUUGAUUGACGCUGAUGGACGAAAGCGUGGGUAGCGAACAGGAUUAGAUACCCUGGUAGUCCACGCCGUAAACGAUGGAUACUAGCUGUUGG